CGCGUAGGCGGUGAUAUGUGUGUGAUGUGAAAGCCCCGGGCUUAACCUGGGAAGUGCAUCGCAAACUGUAUGACUGGAGUAUAUGAGAGGGUGGCGGAAUUUCCGGUGUAGCGGUGAAAUGCGUAGAGAUCGGAAGGAACGUCGAUGGCGAAGGCAGCCACCUGGCAUAAUACUGACGCUGAGGCGCGAAAGCGUGGGGAGCGAACA
Molecule: ribosomal RNA, 207 nt
Filed under: uncultured bacterium
Lineage: Bacteria
Description: partial 16S ribosomal RNA
Rfam family: Bacterial small subunit ribosomal RNA
Source: RNAcentral